RNAcentral lists this non-coding RNA (145 nucleotides) under unclassified sequences. RNAcentral's name for it is "RT-14 RNA". It matches the Rfam family "RT-14 RNA". Rfam says of the family: Cloacimonetes, Firmicutes, Proteobacteria. Nearby to self-splicing intron genes The record is from Rfam by way of RNAcentral.
UUCUAAUAUUAUUUUCGAUGUUCAAGUUUAUGGACUUGUUCCAAUAAAGUAUUAGAUAUUAAAGAGGUUUAUUCCUUCUAUAAAAGGUAAAAAAUGUAUUAAUUUUAGUAUUAAUCUAGUAGAAAAUCGAAAGAAAUAUUAAAAU